CAGAACAUAGCUAAACAAGAAAAGCAUCUCCCUUACACCGAGAAGUCAUCCGUGCAAAUCGGAUUGCUCUGAC
RNAcentral lists this transfer RNA (73 nucleotides) under Nandus nandus. Its description in RNAcentral is "tRNA-Val". It matches the Rfam family "tRNA". Rfam says of the family: Transfer RNA (tRNA) molecules are approximately 80 nucleotides in length. Their secondary structure includes four short double-helical elements and three loops (D, anti-codon, and T loops). Lineage: Eukaryota; Metazoa; Chordata; Actinopteri; Anabantiformes; Nandidae. The record is from RNAcentral.